Jatropha curcas is the source of this 397-nucleotide non-coding RNA. The record is from RefSeq and is a predicted model, not a curated record. Lineage: Eukaryota; Viridiplantae; Streptophyta; Magnoliopsida; Malpighiales; Euphorbiaceae.
GCUAUAAAUCCAAGACCUAUGAAUGUCGCAGACUGCCCAUGAAUCUUUCCCACUAUUUCCAAGCUGCUUGAACUCAAAACGACAAUACGAGCAAUCUCUCAACUCUCUCUGCAACGAUCACACGUCUAUUCCCUCCCACUUAUGAAGAUCUGCCUGUCACUUCUUUCCUUGUGAGCCUGGCCCCCUAUUCCCUUGUUAAACUGAUGGAUCUUGAAGGCAAGACAUUUGGAAGGGAGAUUUUGUGAUAUUGUCAACAAAGUACAAAGGAUGUGCUAUUGUCUUGUAUUUACCUCUACAAAAGGGAAAAAAGUGCUGUGAUAGUGUCCUUCAGACCUCGGGUUUUUCUGUAUUGUCUUUGAAGCGAGCAAAAUGCAAUGCGUCUUCUUUUGUAAGUUCA